UUGACCUCGGAUCAGGUAGGGAUACCCGUUGAACUUAAGCAUAUCAAUAAGCGGAGGACAAGAAACCAACGGGGAUUGCCUCAGUAACGGCGAGUGAAGCGCAACAGCUCAAAU
This 114-nucleotide ribosomal RNA is filed under the name Anzia opuntiella. Its description in RNAcentral is "partial 28S ribosomal RNA". It matches the Rfam family "Eukaryotic large subunit ribosomal RNA", at positions 1 to 114 of the family's 3401-position model. Lineage: Eukaryota; Fungi; Ascomycota; Lecanoromycetes; Lecanorales; Parmeliaceae. The record is from RNAcentral.